This 262-nucleotide long non-coding RNA is filed under the name Capsella rubella. RNAcentral describes it as "long non-coding RNA (CRUB_LNC004759)". The record is from RNAcentral. Lineage: Eukaryota; Viridiplantae; Streptophyta; Magnoliopsida; Brassicales; Brassicaceae.
ACACUUCUUCUUUCUAAACCCGUAACCACGAACCACUUCUUCCUCUCUCUCAUUACCAAACUUAUCGGUAAUCUUCAGAUCUAUUAUUUAUGGUUUUCGAACAAGCUUCAUCGAACGGAGAGACUGAACGGUCGGUCAUGCCGUCGCUGCCGCCGCGCUGCCGAGUCGAACCCUAAUUGUUGUUAAUGGAUUCACUUUGUAAAUUUAUUAAAUGGGCUUUUAAGUUUCUUUGUUAAUAUCAUUUUCAAAGAUAUAAUGGAUU